CGCGCGGUGGAGCAGUCCGGUAGCUCGCAAGGCUCAUAACCUUGAGGUCGGAGGUUCGAAUCCUCCCCGCGCUACCA
This 77-nucleotide transfer RNA is filed under the name Pseudomonadota bacterium. RNAcentral describes it as "tRNA-Met". It matches the Rfam family "tRNA". From Rfam's summary of the family: Transfer RNA (tRNA) molecules are approximately 80 nucleotides in length. Lineage: Bacteria; Pseudomonadati; Pseudomonadota. RNAcentral also lists the same sequence under 4 other names. The record is from RNAcentral.